RNAcentral lists this ribosomal RNA (497 nucleotides) under uncultured bacterium. Its description in RNAcentral is "partial 16S ribosomal RNA". It matches the Rfam family "Bacterial small subunit ribosomal RNA", at positions 28 to 507 of the family's 1533-position model. The record is from RNAcentral.
GAUGAACGCUGGCGGCGUGCCUAAUACAUGCAAGUCGAGCGACCAGACGAGGAGCUUGUUCCUCUGCCGUUAGCGGCGGACGGGUGAGUAACACGUGGAUAACCUACCUAUAAGACUGGGAUAACUUCGGGAAACAGGAGCUAAUACCGGAUAAUAUAUUGAACCGCAUGGUUCAAUAGUGAAAGACGGUUUUGCUGUCACUUAUAGAUGGAUCCGCGCCGCAUUAGCUAGUUGGUAAGGUAACGGCUUACCAAGGCAACGAUGCGUAGCCGACCUGAGAGGGUGAUCGGCCACACUGGAACUGAGACACGGUCCAGACUCCUACGGGAGGCAGCAGUAGGGAAUCUUCCGCAAUGGGCGAAAGCCUGACGGAGCAACGCCGCGUGAGUGAUGAAGGUCUUCGGAUCGUAAAACUCUGUUAUUAGGGAAGAACAAAUGUGUAAGUAACUAUGCACGUCUUGACGGUACCUAAUCAGAAAGCCACGGCUAACUACGUG